Molecule: ribosomal RNA, 253 nt
Filed under: uncultured bacterium
Lineage: Bacteria
Description: partial 16S ribosomal RNA
Rfam family: Bacterial small subunit ribosomal RNA
Source: RNAcentral
UACGUAGGGUGCAAGCGUUAAUCGGAAUUACUGGGCGUAAAGCGUGCGCAGGCGGUUCGUUAUGUCUGAUGUGAAAGCCCCGGGCUCAACCUGGGAAUGGCAUUGGAAACUGGCGAGCUUGAGUGUGGCAGAGGGGGGUGGAAUUCCGCGUGUAGCAGUGAAAUGCGUAGAUAUGUGGAGGAAUACCGAUGGCGAAGGCAGCCCCCUGGGAUAACACUGACGCUCAUGCACGAAAGCGUGGGGAGCAAACAGG